CUGGACUUCUAUACUCCAAAACUCCUGGCCAUAUUUGAGAUGAAGGGUGGGGUUGCUGGCACAAAAAUAAGAAGUGUGCUGGAUUCACUUAGUCAAGUCAACACGAAGGUAGGCGAGAUGCUAUUAUCCGCUGCCUCAUUAUCUUUCUGGGAGAAUCAUCUGAGGAGCUCAUCAAAGACUACCAGGAUGUCAGCAAAGACAUAAUCAAAGAUAGCUUCGCUGAACAUGUGAUGAAGAUCAUUGUACUUUGCAGCACUGCAGCAGAAGGUUCCACUCCAGCCGACGUGAUCACUGUCAUUGAGGGAACUGAGGUGCUGGUUGGAUGUAAAAAAUCUCACAAAUGCGUGUCUUCUACUCAUGGGUUUAAUUUACUCCCUGAACUUCAUCUAUCCCUCAAAGCUGAGAAGCACAUUUGAAGUGUUUCAAAAGAUCUUUCUUGAGCUGGAUGUUAUAAAAUAUUCUCCAAAAGUUCACUCUUUGCACACUAAGCUACUCAUGUAAAUCUGUUAGUUGUGUACACUCAAUAUUUUACACUUUUACAUUUUGUAUUUGUUCCUUUGUGCAGACAUUAAUUGUGUUCUGAAAACUUUAACUUCAAGUAUUAUAGUGAAAAAGAGACAAAA
This is a long non-coding RNA of Myxocyprinus asiaticus (Chinese sucker), 623 nucleotides long. RefSeq lists it as uncharacterized. The transcript is spliced from 3 exons. Lineage: Eukaryota; Metazoa; Chordata; Actinopteri; Cypriniformes; Catostomidae. The record is from RefSeq and is a predicted model, not a curated record.